CCUACGGGAGGCAGCAGUGGGGAAUAUUGCACAAUGGGGGGAACCCUGAUGCAGCAACGCCGCGUGGGUGAAGAAGUACUUCGGUAUGUAAAGCCCUGUCAGCAGGGAAGAAAAUGACGGUACCUGACCAAGAAGCCCCGGCUAACUACGUGCCAGCAGCCGCGGUAAUACGUAGGGGGCAAGCGUUAUCCGGCUUUACUGGGUGUAAAGGGAGCGUAGACGGCAAGGCAAGUCUGGAGUGAAAGCCCGGGGCUCAACCACGGGACUGCUUUGGAAACUGUGUUGCUGGAGUGCAGGAGGGGUAAGCGGAAUUCCUAGUGUAGCGGUGAAAUGCGUAGAUAUUAGGAGGAACACCGGUGGCGAAGGCGGCUUACUGGACUGUAACUGACGUUGAGGCUCAAAGGCGUGGGGAGCAAACAGGAUUAGAUACCCCAGUAGUC
Molecule: ribosomal RNA, 440 nt
Filed under: uncultured bacterium
Lineage: Bacteria
Description: partial 16S ribosomal RNA
Rfam family: Bacterial small subunit ribosomal RNA
Source: RNAcentral